Molecule: ribosomal RNA, 641 nt
Filed under: Microstenus canaliculatus
Lineage: Eukaryota; Metazoa; Arthropoda; Insecta; Hymenoptera; Ichneumonidae
Description: eukaryotic LSU rRNA
Rfam family: Eukaryotic large subunit ribosomal RNA
Source: RNAcentral
CCUGAGAAACCCAAAAGAUCGAAUGGGGAGAUUCAUCGUCAGCGAUUUUGGCGCUUGUGCGGUUCGCGAUGCCGGAGACUUCGGUUUCCGGGCACGCGUCCGCAUGUUUUCCAUUGCCUUAAACGUCGGCGUGCACUUCUCCCCUAGUAGGACGUCGCGACCCGUUGAGUGUCGGUCUACGGCCCGGGCGGUAGCCUGUCUCGUGUUCGCUUCACGGCGUUACGCGGUUCAGACCCCCGGUUGCCUGACCGGCUGCUCGGCGGUACGCGCACGGUAUCUGGCCGCAAAUAUUCGAACUGCGUCCGGCCCGUCGCAAGCGAGGCAAGUGUUUCCCGGCUGUACGGAUCUAAUGCCGUCACCGGGCCUUGCCAGCUGUUGGUUGACGGUGCCCUAGGACAGGCCAAUACAAUUAUGAUACCGGUCGGCGACGCUACUGCUUUGGGUACUUUCAGGACCCGUCUUGAAACACGGACCAAGGAGUCUAACAUGUGCGCGAGUCAUUGGGUAUUAUUAAGCCUAAAGGCGCAAUGAAAGUGAAGGUCGGCCUCGCGCCGACCGAGGGAGGAUGGGCCGCGUCACGAUGCGGUCCCGCACUCCCGGGGCGUCUCGUUCUCAUUGCGAGAAGAGGCGCACCCAGAGCG